RNAcentral lists this long non-coding RNA (4367 nucleotides) under Populus tremula. Its description in RNAcentral is "long non-coding RNA (PTRE_LNC000277)". Lineage: Eukaryota; Viridiplantae; Streptophyta; Magnoliopsida; Malpighiales; Salicaceae. The record is from RNAcentral.
GAUGGGUAGGAGACGACAUUGCCCCUUAAUUUAAUAUUGAAUUACGGGUAAGCACGUCCACUUAAUGACUGAUGUGCUUCUUCCAUUUGUAAAGUUCGAAAUGUUGGACAUCUAUAACAUUGCCCUUUGUAGAGAUAGGACUUAGGGGACGACAUUACCCCUUAAUAUAAAAAAUGAAUUACAUGUAAGCUUUUGCUUUAAUUCCUCCUUUUCUCUCUCUGAAUAUCAAUCUCUUCCCUCUCUCUUGAAAACAUCAAACGCUACCCAAUGCUGUCAGAUUUUGUUAUUAGUUUUAUCUUAUAAUAUUCUUGUUAUCAUCCCAACCUUAAAAACUUCAUUCUCUUAUUUAUAUUGAUUCCUCUGUUUAUUUAUUUGUAGGAAUUUUUUUUAACUUGUUACUAUCUUCACAUGGAAUUGGAUGACUCUGUCUUUUUAGAGUUGGGUUUUUAAUGAGAAUUUGAUUGGCUUCAAAGUCUAUGGCUUUUAAUUUCUUGUUGAUGAUCUUUAAAUAUUGGAGAAUCUUAAUUAUAAAAAUCAAGAUCAAAUCAUGCUUGAGCUUCGGAUUUGCACCUAAUUACGUGUGAGAGUGGCGACAGGAAUGUUGUAGCCAUAGUGACUGGAACAGUAGCCAGAGCAGUUUUCGUUGCCCUUCUAGUACUAGGUGCCAUGCAGAGAAAUGGCUGGCUUGGUGGCAGAGUCUAUGCAUAUAAAGGUAUUGGUAUUUCUUCCAAAUUUUUAUUUUAGAUUGUUUUUCUGACAAUUAUUUAAAUUAUUCAAUAUUUGUUAUAAUUUUUUUAUCUACUUGAAGUACAUCUCUAUAGGAAAAUAUAUAGUUAAGUGUCUGCCUUACUUUUGACAAUUUUUUAUGUGAUGUUUGAAGGGUCAAAGAAGAAAGCGGAGAAAAUGGCUAGACAGAAUGAUCCAUUUUGGGAUUUUGUUGGGAAGCUGAAUGAUGGUCGUUUCAACUGUACAUUUUGUGACUAUAAAUAUGCAGCUGCUACUUCCGUUACGAGGAUCAAAUGGCAUUUGUCAGGAGUCCAAGGGCGUGGUGUUACAAUUUGUAGACAAGUGCCUGAAGACGUUCAAGAAGCAGCUUUUCAAGCUGUGCAUGGUGGCAACAAAAGACAUAAAAGCAUAGCAAGUUCGAGCAAUGUAAAUGAUGAUGCCAUUUCAACCACUCCACAAGAACAAAAGAAUAAUGAAGUCGACAAUUUGGCAGGGGAUGCAGGAAGGAUACAAGCACCAGUUACAAUGGUUCAAGCACUUGGAACAUUUUUGGAAGAGAUCACUAAUGUAAUGGAGGAUGAUAUAGAGAAUGGGACUGGAGGAGUAGUGCAGCCUGGUGCAGGAGCUAGCUCUUCUGCAGGGCUUACAGGCAACACAAAUGAGAUUCCAGGAGACGAAGUGCCAACGACAAAGCUGGUGGGUCAAGCAUUCGAAGACCAUAAGAAGACUAUCUGGUCUUGGUUGAUGCACGACGAAGUUUCAACUAUUGGCAUCUAUGGGAUGGGCGGAGUGGGUAAGACAACAUUGGUGAAACAUAUAUAUGAUGAGCUUCAAAAAAGACGACACAGUUUUUGUCAUGUUUACUGGAUUACUGUUUCACAAGAUACCAGCAUUAGUAGAUUGCAAAACAGUAUCGCCAGACGGAUUGGUUUAGAUCUUUCUAAUGAAGGUGAGGAGCUGUAUAGAGCUUCCGCUUUGUCAAAAGAAUUAAUGAAGAAACAGAAAUGGGUUUUGAUUUUAGAUGAUCUGUGGAAGGCUUUUGAGCUGCACAAGGUAGGAGUUCCUAUCCAAGCUGUUAAGGGAUGCAAGCUGAUUCUUACAACACGAUUAGAAAAGGUUUGUCACCAGAUGGAUACCCAACACAAAAUCAAAGUAAGUCCUAUAUUGGAGGAAGAAGCUUGGACUUUGUUUAUUGAGAGACUUGGACAUCAAAUGGCACUUUCUCCAGAAGUGGAACAGAUUGCAAAAUCUAUCACAAAGGAGUGUGAUGGUUUGCCUCUGGGAAUUACAACAAUGGCUGGAACCAUGAAGGGGGUGGAGGACAUACACGAGUGGAGGAAUGCUUUAGAGGACCUGAGACAAUCAAGAGUUAGGAAAGAUGAUAUGGAGCCUGAUGUAUUCCACAUACUGAGAUAUAGCUACAACCAUCUAAGUGAGGCAGCACUGCAGCAAUGUUUCUUGUACUGUGCAUUAUUCCCGGAAGACUUUGAGAUCCCUAGAGAGGAUUUGAUAGCUUAUUUGAUUGGCGAGGGAGUGAUAAAAGGGCUGGAAAGUAGGGAGGCAGAACUUGACAAAGGCCACUCGAUGCUUAAUAAACUUCAAAGUGUCUGCCUUUUGGAAAGUGCUAAGAAAAUGAACCCUGGUCAUGGAUGUGUCAAUAUGCAUGACUUGAUUAGGGACAUGGCCAUCCAAAUACUACAUGAGAACUCUCAAGGCAUGGUUAAAGCAGGUGCACAAUUAAAAGAAUUGCCGGAUGCAGAGGAGUGGACAGAGAAUCUUACUAGAGUUUCACUGAUGUAUAACCAAAUUCAAGUAAUUCCUUCCAGCCAUUCACCAAGGUGUCCCGGUCUUUCAACUUUAUUGUUACGUGCAAAUUCAGAGUUGCAAUUUAUAGCAGAUUCAUUUUUUGAGCAGUUGUGUGGGCUCAAGGUUCUUGAUCUGUCUUAUACAAGUAUCACAAAACUGCCUGAUUCUGUCUCUGAAUUGGUGAGUCUCACUGUAUUGUUGAUCAAACACUGUAGGGAGUUAAGGCAUGUACCGUCAUUGAAAAAGCUGAGGGCACUAAAGAGGUUAGAUCUCCGUGGUACUACACCUGAAAAGAUUCCUCAAGGUAUGGAAUGUCUAUGCAACCUGAGGUAUCUUAGAAUGAAUGGAUGUGGUGAAAAGGAGUUUCCUAGUGGGUUGUUACCUAAGCUCUCUCACCUGCAAGUCUUUGUAUUGGAGGAGUGGAUUCCUCCUAGUACCAAAGAUAUAAAUAGGACAAUAUGCUCCGAUAACAGUUAAAGGAAAGGAAGUGGGAUGCUUGAGGAAGUUGGAAACUUUGGUAUGUCAUUUUGAAGGUUACUCAGACUACGUGGAGUAUCUCAAAUCUCGGGAUGAAACCAAAUCACUAAGCACAUACAAAAUUCUUGUAGGACCACUGGAUAGCAUUUUAUUAUGAUAAUGAUUAUGAUUAUGAUGAUUGCAGAACGAAAGAAAUUGUUUGGGGUAACUUGAGUAUCGACAAAGAUGGAGAUUUUCAGGUCAUGUUCUCGAAGGACAUUCAACAACUACAUUAAUAAUUAUUGAUGAUGCAACAAGUUUAUGUGAUUUUUGGUCUCUAAUAAAGAAUGCAACUAAACUGGAGGUUAUCAAUAUUAAUAGUUGCAAUAGCAUGGAGAGCUUGGUUUCAUCUUCUUGGUUUUGCUCUGCUCCAGUACUUUGCCAUCUUGUAGUGGUAUAUUUUCUAGUCUUAAGAAGUUCUUUUGUUUUAGAUGUACAAGUAUGAAGAAGUUGUUUCCCUCUUGUCUUGCUGCCCAACCUCGUAAACCUAGAAUGGAUUGAAGUUGUAGGAUGUGAGAAGAUGGAGGAGAUAAUAGGUGGAACAAGAUCAGAUGAAGAAGGGGUUAUGGGUGAAGAAAGCAGCAACAGCGAAUUCAAACUCCCCAAGUUACGAUCUCUGCUCUUGGUUGGAUUACCAGAACUCAAAAGCAUUUGUAGUGCAAAACUGAUUUGCGAUUUUCUGCAAAUAUAUUCAUGUAGGAAAUUGUGAGAAGCUGAAGAGGUUGUCAAUUUGUCUUCCGUUGCUUGAAAAUGGCCAGCCAUCUCCUCCCCCUUUUCUUAGACUAAUCCAUGCAAUGCCAGAAGAAUGGUGGGAGUCAGUAGUGGAGUGGGAGCAUCCUAAUGCUAAGGAUGUCCUUCGUCCAUUUGUAAGGCCUCGAGGUGGGAGAUGACUUUGCCCUUUGUAGAGAUUGAUGGGUAGGAGACGACAUUGCCCCUUAAUUUAAUAUUGAAUUACGGGUAAGCACGUCCACUUAAUGACUGAUGUGCUUCUUCCCUUUGUAAAGUUUGAAGUGUUGGACACCUAUAACAUUGCCCUUUGUAGAGAUAGGACUUAGGGGACGACAUUACCCCUUAAUAUAAAAAAUGAAUUACAUGUAAGCUUUUGCUUUAAUUCCUCCUUUUCUCUCUCUCAGUAUCAAUCUCUUCCCUAUUUCUUGAAAACAUCAAAUGCUACCCAACGCUGUCAGAUUUUGUUAUUAGUUUUAUCUUAUAAUAUUCUUGUUAUCAUCCCAACCUUAAAAACUUCAUUCUCUUAUUUAUAUUGAUUCCUCUGUUUAUUUAUUUGUAGGAAUUUUUUUUAACUUGUUACUAUCUUCACA